GGCACUGUGGCGGAGUGGUUACCGCGACGCCCUGCUACCAGCUGGUUCAUCCUGGUACGUCUUCUCAUCCUGGUAAUCGGUAAUUGGUACCUGGGGGGUCCUAUGGUAUUGGUAAUGACGAGGAGAUUGGAUGGACGGCUAUUGUACAGGCGUUUCCUUCGGGAGUCAGAGUUCGAAUCUCUGUGGCGUCG
RNAcentral lists this transfer RNA (191 nucleotides) under Botrytis cinerea B05.10. RNAcentral describes it as "tRNA EFBcG00000013167". It matches the Rfam family "tRNA". From Rfam's summary of the family: Transfer RNA (tRNA) molecules are approximately 80 nucleotides in length. Their secondary structure includes four short double-helical elements and three loops (D, anti-codon, and T loops). Lineage: Eukaryota; Fungi; Ascomycota; Leotiomycetes; Helotiales; Sclerotiniaceae. The record is from RNAcentral.